UGCCAGCCGCCGCGGUAAUACGAAGGGUGCUAGCGUUGUUCGGAAUUACUGGGCGUAAAGAGCAUGUAGGCGGAUGAAUUAGUCAGUGGUGAAAGCCCACAGCUCAACUGUGGAACUGCCAUUGAUACUGGUUGACUUGAGUACAGAUGAGGUAGGCGGAAUUUAUGGUGUAGCGGUGAAAUGCAUAGAUACCAUAAAGAACACCGAUAGCGAAGGCAGCUUACUAAACUGUUACUGACACUGAGGCACGAAAGCAUGGGUAGCGAACAGGAUUAGAUA
Molecule: ribosomal RNA, 279 nt
Filed under: uncultured bacterium
Lineage: Bacteria
Description: partial 16S ribosomal RNA
Rfam family: Bacterial small subunit ribosomal RNA
Source: RNAcentral